ACUACGGGUGGCAGCAGUAGGGAAUAUUGCUCAAUGGGCGAAACCCUGAAGCAGCAACGCCGCGUGGAGGAUGAAGGUUUUCGGAUUGUUAACUCCUUUUGUUAGAGAAGAUAAUGACGGUAUCUAAAGAAUAAGUACCGGCUAACUCCGUGCCAGCAGCCGCGGUAAUACGGGGGGUGCAAGCGUUACUCGGAAUCACUGGGCGUAAAGCGCGCGUAGGCGGGAUAGCAAGUCAGAUGUGAAAUCCUAUGGCUUAACCAUAGAGUUGCAGUUGAAACUGUUAGUCUAGAGUAUGGGAGAGGUAGGUGGAAUUCUUGGUGUAGGGGUAAAAUGCGUAGAGAUCAAGAAGAAUACUCAUUGCGAAGGCGACCUGCUAGAACAUAACUGACGCUGAUGCGCGAAAGCGUGGGGAGCAAACAGGAUUAGAUACCCCGGUAGUC
Molecule: ribosomal RNA, 440 nt
Filed under: uncultured bacterium
Lineage: Bacteria
Description: partial 16S ribosomal RNA
Rfam family: Bacterial small subunit ribosomal RNA
Source: RNAcentral